Molecule: ribosomal RNA, 497 nt
Filed under: uncultured bacterium
Lineage: Bacteria
Description: partial 16S ribosomal RNA
Rfam family: Bacterial small subunit ribosomal RNA
Source: RNAcentral
GAUGAACGCUGGCGGCGUGCCUAAUACAUGCAAGUCGAGCGAACGAAGGAGGAGCUUGCUCCGCUGACGUUGGCGGCGGGCGGGUGAGUAACACGUAGAUAACCGACCGAUAGGACUGGGAUAAGUUCGGGGAACCGGAGCUAAUACCGGAUAAUAUAUUGAACCGCAUGGUUCUAUAGUGAAAGCCGGUUUUGCUGUCACUUAUAGAUGUAUCCGAGCCGCAUUAGCUAGUUGGUAAGGUAACGGCUUACCAAGGCAACGAUGCGUAGCCGACCUGAGAGGAUGAUCGGCCACACUGGAACUGAGACACGGUCCAGACUCCUACGGGAGGCAGCAGUAGGGAAUCUUCCGCAAUGGGCGAAAGCCUGACGCAGCCACGCCGCGUGAGUGAUGAAGGUCUUCGGAUCGUAAAACUCUGUUAUUAGGGAAGAACAACUGUGUAAGUAACUCUGCCUGUCUUGACGGUACCUACUCAGAAAGCACCGGCUAACUACGUG